GUCACUGGUUACUGGAUCACUUAACUGGUAAGCUCAAGCUUAAUCUGAAAGGGAGAUUAGGAGCUGUCUAAUCUAGAGAGAAUUUCAGGAACUUUUUUUAACCUGAUAAGUCUCUAUGCAACUAGAUAUAAGAAGCUACUAAACCUCACUUAGCUCUAAAAUUAAUAGGGUCAAAUUAUUGUGUGGUGUUGAUUGUGGUCAUCUUGGUCUAGCCCUUCUUCUUAUCUUUUAGGAUUUCGGUUAAAAAAAAAAAAGAGUCUAAUUAAGUUGUGGAAAAUGUAUGCAUGGUAGAAGGUCAUUAAGGGAUAAGUUAACCCCAUUU
Molecule: long non-coding RNA, 322 nt
Filed under: Phoenix dactylifera (date palm)
Lineage: Eukaryota; Viridiplantae; Streptophyta; Magnoliopsida; Arecales; Arecaceae
Description: long non-coding RNA (PDAC_LNC009608)
Source: RNAcentral